GAUGAACGCUGGCGGCGUGCUUAACACAUGCAAGUCGAACGAAGCUGCUAAAGGGAAGCCUUCGGGUGGAAUUUUGGUAGACUUAGUGGCGGACGGGUGAGUAACGCGUGGAUAACCUGCCUUAUACAGGGGGAUAACGGAGAGAAAUUUCCGCUAAGACCGCAUAAGACCACAGCACCGCAUGGUGCAGGGGUAAAAUAUUUAUAGGUAUAAGAUGGAUCCGCGUCCGAUUAGCUAGUUGGUGAGGUAGAGGCUCACCAAGGCGACGAUCGGUAGCCGGCCUGAGAGGGUGAACGGCCACAUUGGGACUGAGACACGGCCCAAACUCCUACGGGAGGCAGCAGUGGGGAAUAUUGGACAAUGGGGGAAACCCUGAUCCAGCGACGCCGCGUGAGUGAAGAAGUAUUUCGGUAUGUAAAGCUCUAUCAGCAGGGAAGAAAAUGACGGUACCUGACUAAGAAGCCCCGGCUAACUACGUGCCAGCAGCCGCGGUAAUACGUAGGGGGCAAGCGUUAUCCGGAUUUACUGGGUGUAAAGGGAGCGCAGACGGCGAAGCAAGUCUGAAGUGAAAUGCAUGGGCUCAACCCAUGAAUUGCUUUGGAAACUGUUUGGCUUGAGUGUCGGAGGGGUAAGCGGAAUUCCUAGUGUAGCGGUGAAAUGCGUAGAUAUUAGGAGGAACACCGGAGGCGAAGGCGGCUUACUGGACGACAACUGACGUUGAGGCUCGAAGGCGUGGGGAGCAAACAGG
RNAcentral lists this ribosomal RNA (748 nucleotides) under uncultured Lachnospiraceae bacterium. RNAcentral describes it as "bacterial SSU rRNA". It matches the Rfam family "Bacterial small subunit ribosomal RNA", at positions 28 to 776 of the family's 1533-position model. Lineage: Bacteria; Bacillati; Bacillota; Clostridia; Lachnospirales; Lachnospiraceae. The record is from RNAcentral.